Molecule: transfer RNA, 71 nt
Filed under: Picochlorum sp. SENEW3
Lineage: Eukaryota; Viridiplantae; Chlorophyta; Trebouxiophyceae
Also listed under: 1 other name
Description: tRNA-Gly
Rfam family: tRNA
About the family: Transfer RNA (tRNA) molecules are approximately 80 nucleotides in length. Their secondary structure includes four short double-helical elements and three loops (D, anti-codon, and T loops). Further hydrogen bonds mediate the characteristic L-shaped molecular structure. tRNAs have two regions of fundamental functional importance: the anti-codon, which is responsible for specific mRNA codon recognition, and the 3' end, to which the tRNAs corresponding amino acid is attached (by aminoacyl-tRNA synthetases). tRNAs cope with the degeneracy of the genetic code in two manners: having more than one tRNA (with a specific anti-codon) for a particular amino acid; and 'wobble' base-pairing, i.e. permitting non-standard base-pairing at the 3rd anti-codon position.
Source: RNAcentral
GCGGGUAUGGAUUAAUGGUAAAUUGUCUGCCUUCCAAGCAGCUGAUAUGGGUUCGAUUCCCAUUACCCGCU